RNAcentral lists this ribosomal RNA (460 nucleotides) under uncultured bacterium. RNAcentral describes it as "partial 16S ribosomal RNA". It matches the Rfam family "Bacterial small subunit ribosomal RNA", at positions 338 to 795 of the family's 1533-position model. The record is from RNAcentral.
CCUACGGGUGGCAGCAGUGAGGAAUAUUGGUCAAUGGACGAGAGUCUGAACCAGCCAAGUAGCGUGAAGGAUGACUGCCCUAUGCGUUGUAAACUUCUUUUAUAUGGGAAUAAAAUCUUCCACGUGUGGCUUUCUGUAUGUACCAGAUGAAUAAGGAUCGGCUAACUCCGUGCCAGCAGCCGCGGUAAUACGGAGGAUCCGAGCGUUAUCCGGAUUUAUUAGGUUUAAAGGGGGCGUAGGCGGAUUGUUAAGUCAGUUGUGAAAGCUUGGGGCUCAACCGCAAGAUAGCAGUUGAAACUGGCUGUCUUGAGUAGUGUAGAGGUGUGCGGAAUGCGCAGUGUAGCGGUGAAAUGCUUAGAUAUCACGAAGAACUCCGAUUGCGAAGGCAGUACACUGGAGUGCAACUGACGCUGAGGCUCGAAAGUGUGGGUAUCGAACAGGAUUAGAUACCCCUGUAGUC